Molecule: transfer RNA, 72 nt
Filed under: Candidatus Nanopusillus sp.
Lineage: Archaea; Nanobdellati; Nanobdellota; Candidatus Nanoarchaeia; Nanoarchaeales; Nanopusillaceae
Description: tRNA-Phe
Rfam family: tRNA
About the family: Transfer RNA (tRNA) molecules are approximately 80 nucleotides in length. Their secondary structure includes four short double-helical elements and three loops (D, anti-codon, and T loops).
Source: RNAcentral
GGGGCGGUAGCUCAGCGGGAGAGCGCCCGGCUGAAGACCGGGAGGUCGGGGGUUCGAAUCCCCCCCGCCCCA